This is a long non-coding RNA of Lytechinus pictus (painted urchin), 813 nucleotides long. RefSeq lists it as uncharacterized. Lineage: Eukaryota; Metazoa; Echinodermata; Echinoidea; Temnopleuroida; Toxopneustidae. The record is from RefSeq and is a predicted model, not a curated record. The transcript is spliced from 3 exons.
AUCAUCAUCAACAACGAAGAGCAGAAUUAUAUUCGCUCAUGACAUUUCGUAUAUUCAUCAUGCAAAUCGUUUAUUUUGGAAUGCUAAACAUUGACGACUGCAUGACUUUCCUAACAGACUGUCCAGAGCUAUACGCCGAUUAUUUUCAUCUCUCAUAAUAUCCUCUAUGGCGGAAGACCUAAACUAUGUCUCGGAAACUGCAGCAAUUGAGGCGUCACUAUUUAAAAGACAUAAUGGGUCUCAGAAAUGUUCUGAUGACAAAACUGACGGUCGCCCUACCAAGAAAGAAAUGCUUACUGAUGACACUCUCUCAAGCUCUUCAAAAAUGUCUGCUGUCAAAGAAAUCUACCCACGAGGACUCGAAACUUCAUCAUGUACACAUUUAAAGACUUCCUCGCCAGUAUUUCUAAGUCGUAAAUCAACGAUCAUGCAACAUGAAGAUUUGGACCUUCACACUCUAUCAAUUGAAGAUGAAAUACCAGUACAUGAUAUUAUGCAUCCAUCGUUAUCUCCGAGGGAUGAAGAAUUUCCAACGUCCUGCAAGACGGGUUCCGAAAAAUCUCCCACGGAUGGAAAGAGUGAAAAGUCACACGAGGUCCAACAUAAAGAAAACGAACCUUCUUCUUGGUGGUUUGGUCGGUUGUGGCCUUUCUCACGCCGGAAGUCACAUAUCUAUCUUUGUACCUCCAUGGAUCCCAGUACCAUCUCAGGAUUCAAGGAGCGUUUGAAGACGAUGUGUGAUCCAUGCAGAAACAUCCUCCAAGAGCAAGAACUCCCUCACUGUGGACUGGAUGAGUUCAGGUUGCCAUCAGA